AUACGUAGGGUGCGAGCGUUAAUCGGAAUUACUGGGCGUAAAGCGUGCGCAGGUGGUUUUGUAAGUCAGAUGUGAAAUCCCCGGGCUUAACCUGGGAACUGCGUUUGAAACUGCAAGGCUAGAGUGUGGCAGAGGGGGGUGGAAUUCCGCGUGUAGCAGUGAAAUGCGUAGAUAUGUGGAGGAACACCGAUGGCGAAGGCAGCCCCCUGGGUCAGCACUGACGCUCAGGCACGAAAGCAUGGGGAGCAAACAGGAUUAGAUACCCCGGUAGUCC
Molecule: ribosomal RNA, 274 nt
Filed under: uncultured bacterium
Lineage: Bacteria
Description: partial 16S ribosomal RNA
Rfam family: Bacterial small subunit ribosomal RNA
Source: RNAcentral